Molecule: long non-coding RNA, 1860 nt
Filed under: Homo sapiens (human)
Lineage: Eukaryota; Metazoa; Chordata; Mammalia; Primates; Hominidae
Description: HSALNT0332466
Source: RNAcentral
ACGUCUACAGAGAGCCUGCCUAGAGUCUGGAUUUUUUAAGCUGCUGGAUACCAGGUGCUACCUGACACCAGCUCAUCCCCUGCCUCUAGAGUCCUGGAGGGCUUUGAGUUGAUCACUUUCCACUCCAGGAAUGUUAUAAGAAACCGCUCAGAAAGGGGAAUUCUUGCCCACAGGUGUUGAUGACGUACUUCCAGGGAACCUCAGAGGCCACAAGGUCUUUCAGGCAGUGCAGGUCAGCCUGGAGCCUGGAGAUCCCUGUGUAGAACAGAGACUCCCUCUCAGAAGCCACAGAGACGUUUGUGAAGCAGCUCAGUAGCUUUCUUACAGCGUCUUUGAAAGUGACUGGGGCCUUCUGAUCCACAUGAACACAGUAGAUGUUUUGGGGAGUGUAGAUGGCCCUCAAGAGUCUUUCAAAUGUAUCAGUCUUUGCGGAUGACCAUGACAUAGGCCAAAGGGAACUCGGCUUCGUCUUUGGACACAGGUUCCAUUAUGCAGUGAUUUCGGAUCAAGUAUCGCUGGCAGGUUAUUAUUUCUCAAUGGCGUCACUGGUAUAUUUUCAUCCAAGAACAUUUUCUUGCCUGUCACAAUCAUGCCACACACUUCUGCAAGGACUGAAGAGUUUGAGAUCUUCCCCCAUGGAAGAUAUUUUUGCGGGACCUAAUAGUUACUAUACAGGAAUAAAAGAGUUAUGGACGUGGCCAUAAGCCCUAGGACCAACCCAAAUGCCUCUACCUUUAUUUUUCCUAUGGUCUUUUCUGGAUUCAUCAUUCACCUGAUUUUAUGCCAUUGCUGAAGUCAGUCUGCAGGUCCCUGCCCAGACUUGAGAAAUGUGCUCUAGCAACUUAUUUGCAGCAAGAAGUGCAAUAUGACCAUUUACUUAAAAGAAGGAGGAUCAACCACAAGUCGGUAGCUCUUCUAUUUAAAAAAUCAGGUGACUCUUUGAACAUGAGCCAGUGGGGCCAGCUGACCACUUCACAAAAGCCAGGCACAGUUGGGCACCUCUGUCUAGGUCAACCACAAAUUAAGACCCUAGCAAAUCGGCCACAGCUGCCAGCUCAGGGUGUUUUUCCCAUGUGGAGUACAGGUGGAAUGUGUGUUCAUUUGGCACCUCUUUUUCCCAUGCAGAGCCACCAUCACCAUCACUGAUGUCACCUUUGAAUGCAAGGGACACUAUAUUUCUUCAACUUCAGGCAAUCACAGUUGUCCUGAAGUAGGUCACCAUUUACGUGGACAGCACCCAGAACUCCUCGAUAGUGGGGUCUCUUUACUUAAAAAUAAAGAUCAAGAAUUUAUAGUAUUUCAGGAUUGAAAGGAAUCUUGCAGAUUAUUCUCACCAAUUGAUUCAGUUACAAAUAAAGAACACUGACAAUGACCCAUAACGACUAUUCUAUCACAUUUUGUCUCCAUUUUCUCACUGAUGGCCUGAGAGGUAAGCAUUGACAUUAUAUCCACUUUGCACAUGAAGAAAUUACGCCCAAAGAUAUGCUAGCUUGCCUGAUAUCCAGUAAUGAGUUAAUGGCAGCCUGGGGUUUUCAAACCUAACUCUUCUUCUUCUUAUCUUAGAGUUGGGGUCUGGGUCUGUGCCCAGGCUGGAGUGCAAUCACUGCCACAUCAACUUCCUGGACUCAACCCAUCCUCCUGCCUCAGUCUCCUGAGUAGCUGGGACUACAGGUGCCAGCCACAUUGCUUGCCUAAUUAAACAUAAGAUUUUGUUUCUUUUUUUUUGAGACAGAGUUUCACUCUUGUUGCUCAGGCUGAAGUGCAAUGGUGCGAUCUCAGCUCACUGCAACCUCUGCUUCCCAGGUUCAAGCAAUUCUCCUGCCUCAGCCUCCCAAGUAGCUGGGAUUACAUGCACCCACC